UCCUGGCUCAGGAUGAACGCUAGCGGCAGGCUUAACACAUGCAAGUCGAGGGGUAACAGGGCGUAGCAAUACGCUGCUGACGACCGGCGCACGGGUGCGUAACGCGUAUGCAACUACCCGUAACAGGGGUAUAACGGAGAGAAAUUUUCCACUAAUCCCCCAUAUUGUUGUUCUUUUCGCAUGUUGGGACAACGAAAGGUUUUUCUGGUUACGGAUGGGCAUGCGUGACAUUAGGUAGUUGGCGGGGCAACGGCCCACCAAGCCGACGAUGUCUAGGGAGCUGAGAGGCUUAUCCCCACACUGGUACUGAGACACGGACCAGACUCCUACGGAGGCAGCAGUGAGGAAUAUUGGUCAAUGGGAGGAAUCCUGAACCAGCCAUGCCGCGUGGGGAAGAAGGUCCUAUGGGUUGUAAACCCUUUACGCCGGACGUAAUAAGAGCCUUGCGAGGUUCGAUGAGAGUACGGCGGAAUAAGCAUCGGCUAACUCCGUGCC
RNAcentral lists this ribosomal RNA (495 nucleotides) under uncultured bacterium. RNAcentral describes it as "bacterial SSU rRNA". It matches the Rfam family "Bacterial small subunit ribosomal RNA", at positions 17 to 509 of the family's 1533-position model. The record is from RNAcentral.